UACGUAGGGGGCAAGCGUUGUCCGGAAUUAUUGGGCGUAAAGCGUGCGUAGACGGUUAAGUAAGUUAGGUGUGAAAGCCCCGGGCUCAACCUGGGAAUUGCAUUUAAGACUGCAUAGCUAGGGUGCGGAAGAGGGAAGCGGAAUUUCCGGUGUAGCGGUGAAAUGCGUAGAUAUCGGAAGGAACAUCAGUGGCGAAAGCGGCUUCCUGGUCCAGCACAGACGUUCAGGCACGAAAGCGUGGGGAGCAAACAGG
RNAcentral lists this ribosomal RNA (253 nucleotides) under uncultured bacterium. RNAcentral describes it as "partial 16S ribosomal RNA". It matches the Rfam family "Bacterial small subunit ribosomal RNA", at positions 524 to 776 of the family's 1533-position model. The record is from RNAcentral.